Peromyscus maniculatus bairdii (prairie deer mouse) is the source of this 1287-nucleotide non-coding RNA. The record is from RefSeq and is a predicted model, not a curated record. NCBI's taxonomy places the organism in Eukaryota, Metazoa, Chordata, Mammalia, Rodentia, Cricetidae.
ACCAAUCAACCAACAAACAAGCAACCAACCAACCAACCCACAGACUCCAAAUGUUUAUCAAGACCUAGUAUUUGUCAGGCUGGGGAUACAGCAUGAGCAAAGCACAAAACCCUGUCUUCAUGAAUACCAGCUUCUGUUUCAGCUGUCUAAUGAUCACUUAUUUUUUUGUGUUUGAUGGAUUCCUAUAUGGUCUCAAACUCUCAUCUUUUCCAGUCUACUAACUGUUUAUUCCAUACAGAUAUGUAUUCCACCAUCCUACUUUGCCUAUCAUUCCUUGAGGGGAGAACCCCAGAUUCCUACUUCAUACUAUUCCUCACAGAUUUACUCUUCUCCCAUCAUCUUCCCAUCCAACAUUUUGUCUUAACCCCCUCCCAUUAAGGUCAAAAUUUGUGCUGCCCAAAUAUUCUUGGAUGUGUGACCUUCCACUGGAGCAUGGUUGACUUGUCAAAGGGUGGAGAAUAAAAAACAGCUGAACACAACUCUCACUCUUUGGGAAAAAGGUGUGAACAACACUCCUCCUCUCUGAAGACAGAAAUGCCUGAGGAUUCAGAGUGUCACUGUGCAGCAGUGAAAGCUAAGAGCAGAAGAGCUACGUUAAGAAGACAUCUUGCAGAAGUGCCAAGAGUUAGGAGCCAGACUGCAAUCCCACUUCUGCUCUUAGCCGUGGGACCUUGGGAUAGUCACUUCGUCAUUGAACUCUUGAGUUCCCUUUUCUGAAAACCAUGUUUAAAAAAUCUAUGAGAAAAACAGCAGCAGGCUUGUGUAAUAACGAGAAGAGGAGAUGAAGCUGGUGGAGCAUGAAUAUCUUGGGACAUGAAAGAAAACAACCACACUGCUCUUGGUCAUCACCCAGGUUUCAGCCUGCUGGAGACAGCCUGCUGGUAGACCAAGGCCUGAUGACAGGAAGGCAGAGGACAGCUUUUUCUCAGCUGCCUGCAUUGUCUGGUGGUCCUCAGAACCAUCCUCCCUAGUGAAUCUGCUUAUGGAAUUAGAUAGUUAACCUUUGCUCUGCAGAGAAGGGGACUGAAAUGUGGAAAAAGUCACGCUAGCAAAAUUUCUCUGUUAACCUUUUCCAUAUCGCCUUCUUUUGCUAUUUCCAGUCUGACUCAGGCAAGUACCAUCAAAAAGAGAAAAAGCCAGCCACUCAAAAGGAAAUGCUCUAAACAUCCAUCUUGUACAUAUCACCUGAAACUAAAGAAUUUACAAAAAUUGUGCCCGAGAAAGCUCAAUUGAUACUACAUUUUUUUCCUAGAUUGUGUGAAGAUGCUGGGGUUUGCUUUUUUCUAU